Molecule: ribosomal RNA, 460 nt
Filed under: uncultured bacterium
Lineage: Bacteria
Description: partial 16S ribosomal RNA
Rfam family: Bacterial small subunit ribosomal RNA
Source: RNAcentral
CCUACGGGUGGCAGCAGUGAGGAAUAUUGGUCAAUGGGCGCUAGCCUGAACCAGCCAAGUAGCGUGAAGGAUGACUGCCCUAUGGGUUGUAAACUUCUUUUAUAUGGGAAUAAAGUGUUCCAUGUGUAGUGCUUUGUAUGUACCUUAUGAAUAAGGAUCGGCUAACUCCGUGCCAGCAGCCGCGGUAAUACGGAGGAUCCGAGCGUUAUCCGGAUUUAUUGGGUUUAAAGGGAGCGUAGGUGGGUUGUUAAGUCAGUUGUGAAAGUUUGCGGCUCAACCGUAAAAUUGCAGUUGAUACUGGCAGUCUUGAGUACAGUAGAGGUGGGCGGAAUUCGUGGUGUAGCGGUGAAAUGCUUAGAUAUCACGAAGAACUCCGAUUGCGAAGGCAGUUCACUGGACUGUAACUGACGCUGAGGCUCGAAAGUGUGGGUAUCAAACAGGAUUAGAUACCCGAGUAGUC